GAUGAACGCUGGCGGCGUGCCUAAUACAUGCAAGUCGAGCGAACAGACGAGGAGCUUGCUCCUCUGACGUUAGCGGCGGACGGGUGAGUAACACGUGGAUAACCUACCUAUAAGACUGGGAUAAUUUCGGGAAACCGGAGCUAAUACCGGAUAAUAUAUUGAACCGCAUGGUUCAAUAGUGAAAGACGGUUUUGCUGUCACUUAUAGAUGGAUCCGCGCUGCAUUAGCUAGUUGGUAAGGUAACGGCUUACCAAGGCAACGAUGCGUAGCCGACCUGAGAGGGUGAUCGGCCACACUGGAACUGAGACACGGUCCAGACUCCUACGGGAGGCAGCAGUAGGGAAUCUUCCGCAAAGGGCGAAAGCCUGACGGAGCAACGCCGCGUGAGUGAUGAAGGUCUUCGGAUCGUAAAGCUCUGUUAUUAGGGAAGAACAAAUGUGUAAGUAACUAUGCACGUCUUGACGGUACCUAAUCAGAAAGCCACGGCUAACUACGUG
This 497-nucleotide ribosomal RNA is filed under the name uncultured bacterium. Its description in RNAcentral is "partial 16S ribosomal RNA". It matches the Rfam family "Bacterial small subunit ribosomal RNA", at positions 28 to 507 of the family's 1533-position model. The record is from RNAcentral.